UACAGAGGUCCCAAGCGUUGUUCGGAUUCACUGGGCGUAAAGGGUGCGUAGGUGGCGCGCUAAGUCGGGUGUGAAAUUUCGGAGCUUAACUCCGAAACUGCAUUCGAUACUGGCGUGCUUGAGGACUGGAGAGGAGACUGGAAUUCAUGGUGUAGCAGUGAAAUGCGUAGAGAUCAUGAGGAAGACCAGUGGCGAAGGCGGGUCUCUGGACAGUUCCUGACACUGAGGCACGAAGGCCAGGGGAGCAAACGGG
RNAcentral lists this ribosomal RNA (253 nucleotides) under uncultured bacterium. RNAcentral describes it as "partial 16S ribosomal RNA". It matches the Rfam family "Bacterial small subunit ribosomal RNA", at positions 524 to 776 of the family's 1533-position model. The record is from RNAcentral.